UAAAACGCUCCUAGAUAUUGAGACAAAAGAUUGAGACAUUAGAAGCUGAUAAGGCAAAUAUGCCCCAGAAACUCCAUCUGGAAGAAAACUUGACUGGUUUCUCUGUGCCUUUAUGAUGUAAAUUUUCUGCUCGCAUCUUCUCUCGGACCUAGGCACCAUUCUUGGAAAUGCAAAUGUUUCUCAGAAACUAAGAAAUUCAUGAAAAGCACUCUGGUGCUUGCUCUAGACUACGGGUUUCUGAUAAACUUUCAGAUUAUAAAACUGAACUGGGUAAGAAAUUACAGAAAUCUAACAGAGAAACUGAUGACCUCAUAUCUGCUA
Molecule: long non-coding RNA, 321 nt
Filed under: Equus caballus (horse)
Lineage: Eukaryota; Metazoa; Chordata; Mammalia; Perissodactyla; Equidae
Description: lncRNA (ENSECAG00000052151.1)
Source: RNAcentral